ACUAACUCUGUUUUAUCGAUAAUCUAUUUAGGUACCUGUACAAGGGGGCGUUGAUACUUCACCUCCAAAUAUUACGUCAAAAAGAGGAGGAAUAGAAGUUUUAAAAAAAAAUCCGGAAGUACUAUUUUCAUUACAAAUACACUUUAUAGCCAUAUACAAGAAAAAAUUUACUUGAAUCUGAUAUAAGGUAUUUGUUGACAUUCAAUCUGAUUAGUCCAAGCAACAUAUCUUGAAUUUCUGAAUGCUCAGAUCCUCGCUUUCAAUACCUGGAUUUACCAAAAUAUAUGAUACACUAUUUCCUUCACUAAAAACGUGAGAAAUUUUAACUUCCAACUGGCUGCACGUCUCGGAUGGCUUGCACUUGGUAUUGACAUUUUCAUGGCCUCAAUGUGUCACUAUUGACCGCUUGAAGAGCUUCUUUGGAAUCCAUUUCAACUCAUAGCCUUCUGUAGCCUUUCUGAACACGAAAUUUAAAUUCUCGGCAUUACUCUCGAACCUCAGAGUCCAUACUAAUGCAGUCUUAUCAUUUUACUCCCUGAUUUUUAAUUUUUGUCCAUAUUUGUCCUUCAGCCGAAUUUCAUCUAAUUUUUUCCAACGUCCUCAUUCCAUCUUUUUGACCCUUUUCUCGAUGUCUCUUGACCUCGCGCCAUUACCUUAUUUCCCAUCCAAACUCAUAAUUAACCCCAAAAAAAAAAAAAAAGUGUAAAAGUCAAUAGAAAUCAUGACAUGACCUGCCUCGAACAAUGCUAGUGGAUUCGAAAUGUAACGUGCGCCGAUGAUGGAAACAAACUAAAAGUCAGAUCUACUAUCAAGGCUACUACAAUAUACAACUUAUUAUCACUUAUUUAUAACAAAAUCAUCAUUAUCUUCUCAGUAAUUUGGACUAACGAACUUGUAGUCAAAUGUAUAAGAAAUUCUAACAACAAUAUCAUAGCAAUUUGAAACCAGUAUUCCCUUCAAUAACUAUAACGACACGACACGACACUACACGAUAGAGAUAAGUCGAAUUCUCCAACUUUUACUUUGAAAACAACAUGAACUGUAUGUUGGGAAUCUACUUAUACAUGCACAGCGGAAUUUAAAAUAAUUUUCGAUUCUCACCAAGAAUCGCCUUUGUGUUUAGAUAGAAAUUGUGAUAAGAUUGUACCUUUUCAGAUUUGCAAUCCUUUUACUUUUCUUUUCGUUCCAUCAACUUUGAUUUGCCACCACAGCUGUCCAAUUGUCCAGCCUCCAACGGUGAUCCACACAAAGAAUAUGAUUGCAGCCUCUAGGGUUUUCUCUUGUGCCAGCAAGAAUAAUGAAAACCUUAUUGGACCUCAAACUCUAGUUAUGUAUUUAUAUAAACUCAAAUAGGCUCGGCCCGGUCCGGUCCAAUAAUUAAUUAAUCCAAUUAAAUAAACCCGAUCCGUGAAUUAAUUAAUCCAAUUAAUUAAUUCGAAAAUAUAAAUAACAAAUCCAAUUAAUUAAUUUAUCCAACGUUUGUU
This 1484-nucleotide long non-coding RNA is filed under the name Olea europaea subsp. europaea. Lineage: Eukaryota; Viridiplantae; Streptophyta; Magnoliopsida; Lamiales; Oleaceae. The record is from RNAcentral.